Molecule: long non-coding RNA, 208 nt
Filed under: Eucalyptus grandis
Lineage: Eukaryota; Viridiplantae; Streptophyta; Magnoliopsida; Myrtales; Myrtaceae
Description: long non-coding RNA (EGRA_LNC005440)
Source: RNAcentral
AAUUGUAGUUUAUCCUCUUGUGUUUUGUUAGUUUAAUCUUGAUUUAACUAUUGCAUUGUCAAAACUAAUAUUUAACUAAAUUAUCUUAAAAGGAUUGGCCCUGUAGUAAAAUUGAGAACCGACACUAUUAAUCCUGUACCACCAGGAUAGGUUCCAAAUUUCAAUAUUAAAAUUGAUUUGUGAGGACCAUGCUAUCCCUAGUUUUGGC